GGUCCUACGGGAGGCAGCAGUGGGGAAUAUUGCACAAUGGGGGAAACCCUGAUGCAGCGACGCCGCGUGGGCGAGGAAGUACCUCGGUAUGUAAAGCCCUAUCAGCAGGGAAGAAAAUGACGGUACCUGACUAAGAAGCCCCGGCUAACUACGUGCCAGCAGCCGCGGUAAUACGUAGGGGGCAAGCGUUAUCCGGAUUUACUGGGCGUAAAGGGAGCGUAGACGGCAGAGCAAGUCUGAAGUGAAAGCCCGCGGCCCAACUGCGGGACUGCUUUGGAAACUGCCCGGCUAGAGUGCUGGAGAGG
RNAcentral lists this ribosomal RNA (305 nucleotides) under uncultured bacterium. Its description in RNAcentral is "bacterial SSU rRNA". It matches the Rfam family "Bacterial small subunit ribosomal RNA", at positions 335 to 657 of the family's 1533-position model. The record is from RNAcentral.